GAUGAACGCUAGCGAUAGGCUUAACACAUGCAAGUCGAGGGGCAGCACGGUGUGGCAAUACACUGGUGGCGACCGGCGUACGGGUGCGUAACACGUAUGCAACCUACCCGCUAUUGGGGGAUAACCCGGCGAAAGUCGGACUAAUAUCCCAUAUUAUUCUUACCGGGCAUCCGGUGAGUCUGAAAGAUUUAUCGAUUGCGGAUGGGCAUGCGGAUGAUUAGCUAGUAGGUGGGGUAACGGCUCACCUAGGCGACGAUCAUUAGGGGUUCUGAGAGGAAGGUCCCCCACACUGGAACUGAGACACGGUCCAGACUCCUACGGGAGGCAGCAGUGAGGAAUAUUGGUCAAUGGGCGCUAGCCUGAACCAGCCAAGUCGCGUGAAGGAUGACAGAUCUAUGGUUUGUAAACUUCUUUUGCAGGGGAGUAAAGUGCGACACGUGUGUUGUAUUGCAAGUACCCUGCGAAUAAGCAUCGGCUAACUACGUGCCAGC
This 491-nucleotide ribosomal RNA is filed under the name uncultured bacterium. Its description in RNAcentral is "bacterial SSU rRNA". It matches the Rfam family "Bacterial small subunit ribosomal RNA", at positions 28 to 512 of the family's 1533-position model. The record is from RNAcentral.